RNAcentral lists this ribosomal RNA (253 nucleotides) under uncultured bacterium. Its description in RNAcentral is "partial 16S ribosomal RNA". It matches the Rfam family "Bacterial small subunit ribosomal RNA", at positions 524 to 776 of the family's 1533-position model. The record is from RNAcentral.
UACGUAGGGUGCGAGCGUUGUCCGGAAUCAUUGGGCGUAAAGCGCGUGUAGGCGGCUCGGUAAGUCUGCUGUGAAAGUCCAGGGCUCAACCCUGGGAUGCCGGUGGAUACUGUCGAGCUCGAGUCCGGAAGAGGCGAGUGGAAUUCCUGGUGUAGCGGUGAAAUGCGCAGAUAUCAGGAAGAACACCCGUGGCGAAAGCGGCUCUCUGGAACGGUACUGACGCUGAGACGCGAAAGCGUGGGGAGCGAACAGG